Long non-coding RNA from Manacus vitellinus (golden-collared manakin), 326 nucleotides. RefSeq lists it as uncharacterized. Lineage: Eukaryota; Metazoa; Chordata; Aves; Passeriformes; Pipridae. The record is from RefSeq and is a predicted model, not a curated record. The transcript is spliced from 3 exons.
UUGUUGGGAGUCCUGGUAGAAGUUUGGCAGCCUGUCAGAGACACCUGCACCCACGUGUAAGAAUGGGUACAUUCAACAGAACUGCCAAGAAUCAUGAAAAUUAGAAGUAAUCAAAUGCCCCUCAAGAUUUUUUCCCCUGCAGGAACAGAGGAAACAACUGCAGAAGAAUGAACACAUCUGUCAAGGCACCAUGAAGGAAGAGACACACUUUUCUGGGCUGGAUGAUCAUCAAUAUCUCCAGCUUUCUGGAUAUCAACAGGAACCCAGGCAUUUUGGUUAUGAUGAAAAGUGUGAGUGUAUUUGUCUCAGGACUGUAGUGCCAACAU